Molecule: ribosomal RNA, 133 nt
Filed under: uncultured bacterium
Lineage: Bacteria
Description: partial 16S ribosomal RNA
Source: RNAcentral
GUUAACGUCAAAGCUAAUGGGUAUUGGCCAUUAGCUCAAUCUUCACUAUUGAAAGUGCUUUACAACCCGCAGGCCUUCUUCACACACGCGGUAUUGCUGGAUCAGGGUUGCCCCCAUUGUCCAAUAUUCCCCA